This 78-nucleotide ribosomal RNA is filed under the name Pseudomonas syringae pv. pisi. Its description in RNAcentral is "partial 23S ribosomal RNA". The record is from RNAcentral. Lineage: Bacteria; Pseudomonadati; Pseudomonadota; Gammaproteobacteria; Pseudomonadales; Pseudomonadaceae.
AUAGGCUGGGUGUGGAAGUGCAGUAAUGCAUUAAGCUAACCAGUACUAAUUGCCCGUACGGCUUGUCCCUAUAACCUU